Molecule: ribosomal RNA, 750 nt
Filed under: Rhizopus arrhizus
Lineage: Eukaryota; Fungi; Mucoromycota; Mucoromycetes; Mucorales; Rhizopodaceae
Description: eukaryotic LSU rRNA
Rfam family: Eukaryotic large subunit ribosomal RNA (bases 549-750)
Source: RNAcentral
AUCAUUAAUUAUGUUAAAGCGCCUUACCUUAGGGUUUCCUCUGGGGUAAGUGAUUGCUUCUACACUGUGAAAAUUUGGCUGAGAGACUCAGACUGGUCAUGGGUAGACCUAUCUGGGGUUUGAUCGAUGCCACUCCUGGUUUCAGGAGUACCCUUCAUAAUAAACCUAGAAAUUCAGUAUUAUAAAGUUUAAUAAAAAACAACUUUUAACAAUGGAUCUCUUGGUUCUCGCAUCGAUGAAGAACGUAGCAAAGUGCGAUAACUAGUGUGAAUUGCAUAUUCAGUGAAUCAUCGAGUCUUUGAACGCAGCUUNGCACUCUAUGGUUUUUCUAUAGAGUACGCCUGCUUCAGUAUCAUCACAAACCCACACAUAACAUUUGUUUAUGUGGUGAUGGGUCGCAUCGCUGUUUUAUUACAGUGAGCACCUAAAAUGUGUGUGAUUUUCUGUCUGGCUUGCUAGGCAGGAAUAUUACGCUGGUCUCAGGAUCUUUUUUUUUGGUUCGCCCAGGAAGUAAAGUACAAGAGUAUAAUCCAGUAACUUUCAAACUAUGAUCUGAAGUCAGGUGGGAUUACCCGCUGAACUUAAGCAUAUCAAUAAGCGGAGGAAAAGAAAAUAACAAUGAUUUCCCUAGUAACGGCGAGUGAAGAGGAAAGAGCUCAAAGUUGGAACCUGUUUGGCCUAGCUAAACCGGAUUGUAGACUGUAGAAGUGUUUUCCAGGCAAGCCGAGUAAAUAAGUCCUYUGGAACAGG